This 443-nucleotide ribosomal RNA is filed under the name uncultured bacterium. RNAcentral describes it as "partial 16S ribosomal RNA". It matches the Rfam family "Bacterial small subunit ribosomal RNA", at positions 338 to 795 of the family's 1533-position model. The record is from RNAcentral.
CCUACGGGGCGCAGCAGUGGGGAAUAUUGGGCAAUGGAGGAAACUCUGACCCAGCAAUGCCGCGUGAAUGAAGAAGGUCUUCGGAUUGUAAAGUUCUUUAGUCAGGGAAGAAUAAAUGACGGUACCAAAGGAAUAAGCCCCGGCUAACUACGUGCCAGCAGCCGCGGUAAUACGUAGGGGGCAAGCGUUGUUCGGAAUGACUGGGCGUAAAGGGUGUGUAGGUGGUUUGAUAAGUUAGAUGUGUAAUACCCAGGGCUUAACUCGGGUGCUGCAUCUAAAACUGUUAGACUUGAGUACUGGAGAGGAUAGUGGAAUUCCUAGUGUAGCGGUGGAAUGCGUAGAUAUUAGGAGGAACAUCAGGGGCGAAGGCGACUAUCUGGACAGCAACUGACACUGAGGCACGAAAGCGUGGGGAGCAAACAGGAUUAGAUACCCCUGUAGUC